This 735-nucleotide ribosomal RNA is filed under the name uncultured organism. RNAcentral's name for it is "bacterial SSU rRNA". It matches the Rfam family "Bacterial small subunit ribosomal RNA", at positions 39 to 821 of the family's 1533-position model. The record is from RNAcentral.
GCGGUCUGCUUACACAUGCAGUCGAACGCAACCUUCGGGUUGAGUGGCGGACGGGUGAGUAACGCGUGAGAAUCUGCCUUGGGGUCGGGGACAACCACUGGAAACGGUGGCUAAUACCGGAUAAGCCUUUGGGUAAAAAAUUUAUUGCCCCAAGAGGAGCUCGCGUCUGAUUAGCUAGUUGGUGAGGUAAGAGCUCACCAAGGCAGCGAUCAGUAGCUGGUCUGAGAGGACGAUCAGCCACACUGGGACUGAGACACGGCCCAGACUCCUACGGGAGGCAGCAGUGGGGAAUUUUCCGCAAUGGGCGAAAGCCUGACGGAGCAAGACCGCGUGAGGGAGGAAGGCUCUUGGGUUGUAAACCUCUUUUCUCAGGGAAGAAGCUCUGACGGUACCUGAGGAAUCAGCCUCGGCUAACUCCGUGCCAGCAGCCGCGGUAAUACGGAGGAGGCAAGCGUUAUCCGGAAUUAUUGGGCGUAAAGCGUCCGCAGGUGGCGAUUCAAGUCUGCUGUCAAAGCACGGGGCUUAACUCCGUUAAGGCAGUGGAAACUGAAUAGCUAGAGUGCCGUAGGGGUAGAGGGAAUUCCCGGUGUAGCGGUGAAAUGCGUAGAGAUCGGGAAGAACAUCGGUGGCGAAAGCGCUCUACUGGACGGCAACUGACACUCAGGGACGAAAGCUAGGGGAGCGAAUGGGAUUAGAUACCCCAGUAGUCCUAGCUGUAAACGAUGGAUACUAGGU